CCUGGCUCACGAUUAACGCUAGCUACAGGCUUAACACAUGCAAGUCGAGGGGCAGCAUGGUCUUAGCUUGCUAAGGCCGAUGGCGACCGGCGCACGGGUGAGUAACACGUAUCCAACCUGCCGUCUACUCUUGGACAGCCUUCUGAAAGGAAGAUUAAUACAAGAUGGCAUCAUGAGUCCGCAUGUUCACAUGAUUAAAGGUAUUCCGGUAGACGAUGGGGAUGCGUUCCAUUAGAUAGUAGGCGGGGUAACGGCCCACCUAGUCUUCGAUGGAUAGGGGUUCUGAGAGGAAGGUCCCCCACAUUGGAACUGAGACACGGUCCAAACUCCUACGGGAGGCAGCAGUGAGGAAUAUUGGUCAAUGGGCGAGAGCCUGAACCAGCCAAGUAGCGUGAAGGAUGACUGCCCUAUGGGUUGUAAACUUCUUUUAUAAAGGAAUAAAGUCGGGUAUGCAUACCCGUUUGCAUGUACUUUAUGAAUAAGGAUCGGCUAACUCCGUGCCAGCAGCCGCGGUAAUACGGAGGAUCCGAGCGUUAUCCGGAUUUAUUGGGUUUAAAGGGAGCGUAGAUGGAUGUUUAAGUCAGUUGUGAAAGUUUGCGGCUCAACCGUAAAAUUGCAGUUGAUACUGGAUAUCUUGAGUGCAGUUGAGGCAGGCGGAAUUCGUGGUGUAGCGGUGAAAUGCUUAGAUAUCACGAAGAACUCCGAUUGCGAAGGCAGCCUGCUAAGCUGCAACUGACAUUGAGGCUCGAAAGUGUGGGUAUCAAACAGGAUUAGAUACCCUGGUAGUCCACACGGUAAACGAUGAAUACUCGCUGUUUGCGAUAUACAGCAAGCGGCCAAGCGAAAGCGUUAAGUAUUCCACCUGGGGAGUACGCCGGCAACGGUGAAACUCAAAGGAAUUGACGGGGGCCCGCACAAGCGGAGGAACAUGUGGUUUAAUUCGAUGAUACGCGAGGAACCUUACCCGGGCUUAAAUUGCAGAUGAAUUACGGUGAAAGCCGUAAGCCGCAAGGCAUCUGUGAAGGUGCUGCAUGGUUGUCGUCAGCUCGUGCCGUGAGGUGUCGGCUUAAGUGCCAUAACGAGCGCAACCCUUGUUGUCAGUUACUAACAGGUUCCGCUGAGGACUCUGACAAGACUGCCAUCGUAAGAUGUGAGGAAGGUGGGGAUGACGUCAAAUCAGCACGGCCCUUACGUCCGGGGCUACACACGUGUUACAAUGGGGGGUACAGAGGGCCGCUACCACGCGAGUGGAUGCCAAUCCCCAAAACCUCUCUCAGUUCGGACUGGAGUCUGCAACCCGACUCCACGAAGCUGGAUUCGCUAGUAAUCGCGCAUCAGCCACGGCGCGGUGAAUACGUUCCCGGGCCUUGUACACACCGCCC
This 1382-nucleotide ribosomal RNA is filed under the name uncultured bacterium. RNAcentral describes it as "bacterial SSU rRNA". It matches the Rfam family "Bacterial small subunit ribosomal RNA", at positions 18 to 1395 of the family's 1533-position model. The record is from RNAcentral.